RNAcentral lists this long non-coding RNA (455 nucleotides) under Homo sapiens (human). RNAcentral's name for it is "HSALNT0320110". The record is from RNAcentral. Lineage: Eukaryota; Metazoa; Chordata; Mammalia; Primates; Hominidae.
AGAAAUUUUAUUUUGGCCAGGAGCUGAAGUUGGUUGUUUAGUAGUAGUAGUUUGAGUAGUGACCGAAGUAGUAGUCUGGUGUGGUAAUUGGGGCAGCUGUGGUCUCUUGUGGAGCUGGGGAAGACGGUGGAGCUGGUGUAGUUGCAGAAGGUGUGGGUGGGGCAGCUGUGGUCUCUGGUGGAGCUGAGGAAGAUGGUGGAGCUUGUGUAGUUGCAGAAGGUGUGGGUGGGGCAGCUGUGGUGUCUUGUGGAGCUGGGGAAUUCACUGGUGCUAAUGUAGCUACAGAAGAGCUUGUGUUAACAUUUUCUCUUGAAGAUAUGGUGGUGGCAUUCUGGGGAAGAAAAGUCACAUUUGGAAGGGUAGUAAUUUUGGUGGCUGCUUAGGCCUACAGCGUUUGUGCAGACAUUUAUAGGACUUUCUAAUGAACGGCUUCUGGUGAGCUAGCAGUCCAGGAU